UACGUAGGGAGCAAGCGUUGUCCGGAAUCAUUGGGCGUAAAGCGCGCGUAGGUGGCCUCGUAAGUCCGCUGUGAAAGUCAAAGGCUCAACCUUUGAAAGCCGGUGGAUACUGUGGGGCUAGAGUACGGAAGAGGCGAGUGGAAUUCCUGGUGUAGCGGUGGAAUGCGCAGAUAUCAGGAGGAACACCAAUAGCGAAGGCGACCACCUGGACUGAUACUGACACUGAGGUGCGAAAGCGUGGGGAGCAAACAGG
Molecule: ribosomal RNA, 253 nt
Filed under: uncultured bacterium
Lineage: Bacteria
Description: partial 16S ribosomal RNA
Rfam family: Bacterial small subunit ribosomal RNA
Source: RNAcentral